Non-coding RNA from Biomphalaria glabrata, 72 nucleotides. The record is from Rfam. NCBI's taxonomy places the organism in Eukaryota, Metazoa, Mollusca, Gastropoda, Planorbidae.
GGUUCCAUGGUGUAAUGGUUAGCACUUUGGACUUUGAAUCCAGCGAUCCUAGUUCAAAUCUCGGUGGAACCU